Molecule: ribosomal RNA, 476 nt
Filed under: uncultured bacterium
Lineage: Bacteria
Description: bacterial SSU rRNA
Rfam family: Bacterial small subunit ribosomal RNA
Source: RNAcentral
AACGAACGCUGGCGGCAGGCUUAACACAUGCAAGUCGAGCGGGCGUAGCAAUACGUCAGCGGCAGACGGGUGAGUAACGCGUGGGAACGUACCUUUUGGUUCGGAACAACACAGGGAAACUUGCGCUAAUACCGGAUAAGCCCUUACGGGGAAAGAUUUAUCGCCGAAAGAUCGGCCCGCGUCUGAUUAGCUAGUUGGUGAGGUAACGGCUCACCAAGGCGACGAUCAGUAGCUGGUCUGAGAGGAUGAUCAGCCACAUUGGGACUGAGACACGGCCCAAACUCCUACGGGAGGCAGCAGUGGGAAUAUUGGACAAUGGGGGAAACCCUGAUCCAGCGACGCCGCGUGGGUGAAGAAGGCCUGCGGGUUGUAAAGCCCUUUCAGUGGGAAGAAAAGCCUCGACCUAAUACGUCGGGGGUCUUGACGUAACCCAUAGAAGAAGCACCGGCUAACUCUGUGCCAGCCGCCGCCGUAAC